AAGAGUUUUCCCUUCAUUCAUUGUUUUGUGUUUGCACCACCCACUAAGUACUAACCCUUCCUCCUCCUCCCCACCCUUCGCACUUGUUCUGCUCUUUCGUUUCAGAGCAACAGUCAUCGAUGGAUUCAGCGCUGGAAUGCUAGCAGAAGGAGCAGCAUGGAACAAGGAGAAACCUAGGACUUGGCAUGAUUCUUAUUUUUAGUAGAGCCACUAGAAGACAAACACCUGGAUAAGAGGAAGAACACAGCAAGAAAAGACCUCAUCUCAAAGGAUCUACACUUUUGGAAACCAGAGCAGAAGUUACCUUUGACCAGAUGGACGUCGUACCAAUAUAGGCAUGUCAUGACCUGACCUUGAUAAACUAGU
Molecule: long non-coding RNA, 366 nt
Organism: Saccostrea echinata
Lineage: Eukaryota; Metazoa; Mollusca; Bivalvia; Ostreida; Ostreidae
Exons: 3
Source: RefSeq, a predicted model, not a curated record